Molecule: ribosomal RNA, 482 nt
Filed under: uncultured bacterium
Lineage: Bacteria
Description: bacterial SSU rRNA
Rfam family: Bacterial small subunit ribosomal RNA
Source: RNAcentral
GAUGAACGCUAGCGAUAGGCCUAACACAUGCAAGUCGAGGGGCAUCACAUGAAGUAGCAAUACGGAUGGUGGCGACCGGCGCACGGGUGAGUAACACGUAUGCAACCUGCCUUCAACAAGGGGAUAACCCGUUGAAAGACGGACUAAUACCCUAUAACACAGGGGUCCCGCAUGGGGAUAUUUGUUAAAGGACAACCGGUUGAAGAUGGGCAUGCGUUCCAUUAGCUAGUUGGCGGGUAAGGCCCACAAGGCAACGAUGGAUAGGGGAACUGAGAGGUUUAUCCCCCACACUGGUACUGAGACACGGACCAGACUCCUACGGGAGGCAGCAGUGAGGAAUAUUGGUCAAUGGACGCAAGUCUGAACCAGCCACGUCGCGUGAAGGAAGACGGCCCUACGGGUUGUAAACUUCUUUUGCAAGGGAAUAAAGUGGGCCACGUGUGGCCUUUUGCAAGUACCUUGCGAAUAAGGAUCGGCUAACU